UGCAUGUCUAAGUACAAGCCUAAUUAAGGUGAAACCGCGAAUGGCUCAUUAAAUCACACCUAAUAUACUGGAUAUUCUCAGUUACUUGGAUAACUGCGGUAAUUCUGGAGCUAAUACAUGCGAAAAAAUCCCGAACUUACGUGAGGGAUGCUUUUAUUAGAUCAAAACCAAUUUAAAAACUUGGUGACUCUGAAUAACAUUUGCAGAUCGCAUGGCUUUACGCCGGCGACGUAUCCUUCUAAGGUGUGCCCUAUCAACUGUCGACUGUGGCAUAGACGCCCACAGUGGUUUUGACGGGUAACGGGGAAUCAGGGUUCGAUUCCGGAGAGGGAGCCUGAGAAACGGCUACCACUUCUAAGGGAGGCAGCAGGCACGCAAAUUACCCAAUGGUCGAAGACCGAGGUAGUGACGAAAAAUAACGAAGCCGGACUCAUCCGAGGCCCGGUUAUCGGAAUGAGUACACUUUAAAUCCUUUAACGAGGAACAAUUGGAGGGCAAGUCUGGUGCCAGCAGCCGCGGUAAUUCCAGCUCCAAUAGCGUAUAUUAAAGUUGUUGCGGUCAAAAAGCUCGUAGUUGGAUUUCGGUGAGUAAGGAGGGGUUCAUCUUGUUUGAUGUAACUGCUGUCUUGUCUCGCGUUUUUCGACAGAGGUUUCGAUGGUGCCUUUCAAAGGGUGUCUCGGGAUACUGUCGGGUUUACUUUGAAAAAAUUAGAGUGCUCAAAGCAGGCU
RNAcentral lists this ribosomal RNA (728 nucleotides) under Lepeophtheirus salmonis (salmon louse). RNAcentral describes it as "SSU rRNA". It matches the Rfam family "Eukaryotic small subunit ribosomal RNA", at positions 52 to 786 of the family's 1831-position model. The record is from RNAcentral. Lineage: Eukaryota; Metazoa; Arthropoda; Copepoda; Siphonostomatoida; Caligidae.